AACGCGGGCGGCGUGCUUAACACAUGCGAGGCGAGCGAAGCGCCCGAGUAGAUUUCUUCGGAUUGAAACGAGGGAUGACUGAGCGGCGGACGGGUGAGGAACGCGUGGGUAACCUGCCUCACUACGGGGGAUAACAGUUAGAAAUGACUGCUAAUACCGCAUAAGCGCCCCGGACCGCAUGGUCUGGUGUGAAAAACUCCGGUGGUAUGAGAUGGACCCGCGUCAGAUUAGCCAGUUGGCGGGGUAACGGCCCACCAAAGCGACGAUCUGUAGCCGGCCUGAGAGGGCGACCGGCCACAUUGGGACUGAGACACGGCCCAAAACUCCUACGGGAGGCAGCAGUGGGGAAUAUUGCACAAUGGGGGAAACCCUGAUGCAGCGCCGCCGCGUGAGUGAUGAAAGUAUUUCGGUACGUAAAGCUCUAUCAGCAGGGAAGAAGACGACGGUACCUGACUAAGAAGCCCCGGCUAACUACGUGCCAGCAGCCGCGGUAAUACGUAGGGGGCAAGCGUUAUCCGGAUUUACUGGGUGUAAAGGGAGCGCAGACGGCAGUGCAAGUCUGAAGUGAAAUGCAGGGGCUCAACCCCUGAAUUGCUUUGGAAACUGUACAGCUAGAGUAUCGGAGGGGUAAGCGGAAUUCCUAGUGUAGCGGUGAAAUGCGUAGAUAUUAGGAAGAACACCGGUGCCGAAGGCGGAUUCCUGGUACGUAUCUGACGCUGAGGCGCGAAAGUCGGGGGAGCAAACAGGAUUAGAUACCCUGGUAGUCCCGACCUUAAACGGUGCAAACUCGGGGUGGGGGGAUUUCAACCCCCCCGUCCCUUAGCUAACGCGUUAAGUUUGCCGCCUGGGGGAGUAGGACCGCAAGGUUAAAACUCAAAGAAAUUGACGGGGGCCCGCACAAGCAGAGGAGCAUGUGGCUUUAAUUCGAUGCAACGCGAAGAACCUUACCUGGGUUUGACAUGCAGCUGCACGUCCCAUGAAAGUGGGAUUCCUUCGAGGGUGCUGCACAGGUGCUGCAUGGCUGUCGUCAGUUCGUGCCGUGAGGUGUUUGGUUAAGUCCACCAACGAACGCAACCCCUUUGACCAGUUGCCAGCGGGUGAAGCCGGGAACUCUGGUCACACUGCCGUUUCACAACGGAGGAAGGUGGGGAUGACGUCAAGUCAGUAUGGCCCUUACAUCCAGGGCUGCACACGUGCUACAAUGGCCGGUACAGAGGGAUCCCAAGCCGCGAGGCGGAGGCAACCCCCCAGAGCCGGCCCCAGUUCAGAUCGGGGUCUGCAACCCGACCCCGUGAAGUCGGAUUUGCUAGUAACGGCGUAUCAGCUACGACGCCGUGAAUGCGUUGCCGGGCCUUGCACACACCGCCCGUCA
Molecule: ribosomal RNA, 1372 nt
Filed under: uncultured bacterium
Lineage: Bacteria
Description: partial 16S ribosomal RNA
Rfam family: Bacterial small subunit ribosomal RNA
Source: RNAcentral